AAAACUUUCAACAACGGAUCUCUUGGUUCUGGCAUCGAUGAAGAACGCAGCNAAAUGCGAUAAGUAAUGUGAAUWGCAGAAUUCAGWGAAUCAUCGAAUCUUUGAACGCACAUUGCGCCCCUCGGUAUUCCGGGGGGCAWGCCUGUUCGAGCGUCAWU
This 158-nucleotide ribosomal RNA is filed under the name Ramalina sinensis. RNAcentral's name for it is "5.8S ribosomal RNA". It matches the Rfam family "5.8S ribosomal RNA". From Rfam's summary of the family: 5.8S ribosomal RNA (5.8S rRNA) is a component of the large subunit of the eukaryotic ribosome. It is transcribed by RNA polymerase I as part of the 45S precursor that also contains 18S and 28S rRNA. The record is from RNAcentral. Lineage: Eukaryota; Fungi; Ascomycota; Lecanoromycetes; Lecanorales; Ramalinaceae.